Molecule: ribosomal RNA, 253 nt
Filed under: uncultured Rhodoligotrophos sp.
Lineage: Bacteria; Pseudomonadati; Pseudomonadota; Alphaproteobacteria; Hyphomicrobiales; Rhodoligotrophaceae
Description: partial 16S ribosomal RNA
Rfam family: Bacterial small subunit ribosomal RNA
Source: RNAcentral
UACGGAGGGUGCGAGCGUUGUUCGGAAUUACUGGGCGUAAAGCGCGCGCAGGCGGAUGUGCAAGUCGAAGGUGAAAUCCCGGGGCUCAACCCUGGGACUGCUCUCGAUACUGCAUGUCUAGGGACCGGUAGAGGUCGGUGGAAUUCCCGGUGUAGCGGUGGAAUGCGUAGAUAUCGGGAGGAACACCUGUGGCGAAGGCGGCCGACUGGGCCGGAUCCGACGCUGAGGCGCGAAAGCGUGGGGAGCAAACAGG